RNAcentral lists this long non-coding RNA (705 nucleotides) under Rosa chinensis. RNAcentral describes it as "sRNA RchiOBHm_Chr1g0369481". Lineage: Eukaryota; Viridiplantae; Streptophyta; Magnoliopsida; Rosales; Rosaceae. The record is from RNAcentral.
UUGAACCUAUGGCUUAGGUCCAUCCGUGCAAGUAAUUGAUAUCCUUCAUGAGAUCUUUUCAAAAAAAUUAUAUUCACAAAGUGCUUUUCGUUUCUUAUAUAUGUGAGCUAUUUGAUUGCCUCAAAAUAUUUUCUCUCACAUAUAAUUGAGUGAUUAUAAGCUUUUAAGCAUUGUCUUGAAUUCUGAGAGAAGAAAGAGUGGAUAUACCUUGUGAGGAUAUGAAUCAUACUUGUUCGAAGCAUGCUUAACAGAAACCAUCAUCAUUGUCACAACCAAGUCCUACUUGUGUAUGUGUGGAUUAUAUGAGAUUUCUGAGACAAAAAGUUGAAGGGCAAUAGAGUCAUUGUUUUUGUAGAGUCUUUAAUUUUCGUUGAGUGUUAGUGUGUGUCUUAGUGUGAUUUUGCUAAGGGACUAGCAAAAGCUAAGUGUGGGGGAAUUUGAUAGGAGCAUUUUAAUGCGACGUUUUAACUGCAUUUCCCUACAUUUCUUACGUUAUUUCCUUAUUAAAAUCCUGUUUAGGAAAGUUUCCAUUCUUUGAUUGGGAAAGUUCCUAUUUGUAGAAAGUUUAUAUUUUUGUAGUUUCUAUUUAUCAUUUUUAGUAAGUUGCCAUUUUUCAUUUUAGGAAAGUUUCUAUUUUUCUUAUUAGUUUCUAUUUUUAGGACCUCCAAGCAAGUGGAAAAUCUUGAGGAGGAAAAUCAAAGUUGC